Long non-coding RNA from Gasterosteus aculeatus aculeatus (three-spined stickleback), 2219 nucleotides. The record is from Ensembl. Lineage: Eukaryota; Metazoa; Chordata; Actinopteri; Perciformes; Gasterosteidae.
AUGGGUGUGUUGCAGGUGCAAGGUAAAAAUUCAAGCUUUUCACAUAAAAUAGCCUCACCAUUGAAACAUAUAUAUAUUUUCAAUGUGACAAGAAUUGUGUUCAAUAUAACAUCCACUGAGCUUCUUCACAACCAAUAAACACUUGUCUUGCAGUAUCACCAUUAGGGUAAUUCGAUCAAUAAGUCUGGGAAAACAUCCAGAAAUCGAAUUCUGUGCUCAGGAUUCUUAGAAUCAAAAUAGAGAAUCUCCUUUCCGCCGUCUAUGUUGACCAAUGAAGUAUGGAUCUCCAGAAGAUUCUGCCUGUGGGUUAGGGUUAGGUUGUAACAGUAGAUGUUCAACAGAUUCUGGUUGAUUACAAUAUGAGCAUUUCCCAGUUGGGUGCUUGCCUAUUCUAUAUGAUGAAUGGUUAAGACCUGUAUUGUAUGUCCAAUUAUCAGUCGAGUGAUGACAUUCCCUUCCCCUCCAUUCCACCUUUCUCCUUGCCCCAACAUGUUUUUGUAUCUUGUACAGAUGCCUUUGUUUCCUGAUCAUCCCGGUAAUCCUGCCAUACUGUAUUUGAAUAUGUUCUGAUGAAUCGCUAAGCCUCAGUUUUACUUAACGGAACUUGUAAACCUAUAUUCUUAACUCUUAAUUCUUAAAGUGUUUGUUUGGCCAGAGUAUCCACCUGUUCAUUCCCCUCCACAACAACAUGAGCUGGAACCCAGAUGAAUUGUGUAGCUAUGACUCUAAUUUCCAUCCUAUAUAUUAUGAGGAAUAUUUCAUGAAAGAUAUCAGUCCUGAUAGAUGAUCUGCUGAGAAACUGUCAGAUGUAAUCAUUAUUGCAUAGCAGAUCAUCUAUCAGGACUGAUAUCCUUCAUGAAAUAACGGUGUUGUUUAUUUCCCUCUUAGUCACUGCAGGGCCAAUAAUAUUGCCAAUAGCUCUGUGCUAUAUACUGACACAUGAUCUGAUACUCUUGCAGGUCUCACUCACCGGGAUAUAAACUGCUGCACCUGCACACCCUGCUUCAGGAUCUUUGGAGCUGUCUGUAAAUAACAUUAUGGAGUCUGAAAAGUACUGAUCAAAAUAAUUCUGUACUAUGCGCAAUGCAGAUAUAUGCUUCGACUUCUCCUUCAAUUCCUGCAGUAUAUUAAAGUCUACCUUUGGAAAUGGGAAUAAAAGGAUGAAAUUGAGACUGUAGGGCAAUACUGUAAUUGACAUAACCCAAUUUCUUCCGCCAUUACAUCACCUACACAGCCAAAGAGUGCAUUUCUCCCACUUCCAUUGCUGAUACCGGAGAUGUUGUGAAUGAUCCACUGAUGAUUCUCAACACCUGAGCUUGUAGUACAUCCAAUUUCUUGAAGUUUGGUUCUGCUGCUGACAUGUAAGCCAAGGACAGAUCUCACCAGUGCUCAGUAUAUAUUUUGUAAAGAUUCUCUACAUGCUCCCCAUUCAUGUCCUGUCAAACAACAAGUAUUAGACUUUUUUAUAAUUUGCUCUUGAUCUAAAUGUUCCAUGUGAGUGUUCCAUCAAACCAAAUCCCCAGAAAUCAAAUAGCUUUGACUUGCUCCAGAUGUUGAUUAUAACAUUUUAGGGAAAUAGGUGUGAUUAUACGCCGUUUUGAGAAACAAAUAACUUGUUUUUGCUACUGACAACUUGAAUCCCCAUUUGCUUACCCAUUCCUCCACCUCAGCUAUUGGAGCUUGGAUUUUCCUCUUAACAAAUGAUACAUUGCGGCCCCUUAUCCAAAGAGCUGCGUCAUCCUUGUACAAAGACUUUCCUAUGCUUUCCUCAACCUGAGAAAAUACAUCAUUUAUCAUUAUAGUAAAUAAUAACGGACUACAUACACUACCUUGCAGAGUUCCAUUAUCCAAUGUAUAUACAUUUGAAUAUUAUGCAUCUACUUUUACCUGUAUCUUCCUUUCAAAUAAUAAUUUCAUUGCCCAAUUAUAUACCCUACCACCAAUUCCCACUGAAUUUUCUGCCUGUCUGUCCUCCGACCGAGGCUUUUUGCAUCUGGGGGCGUGUCCAUUCUUUUUACAGCCUACACUUUAAUCAUGUCAUAAACAAUAUUUAACUUAUUUUCUAUAAGCCAAAAGAAAAAUUGCCUCGUAAGGCUUUCUCAUCUGUACAUCUGCGACAUCCUCUGGUCCCUGAACUUGGACCUGACAGAAGAAAAACUCAAAGUGUGGGCCCCCAAAGCCCGUCAAUGGGGAUGAAAUAAGGAAGAAAUCUGUCAGAG